CAGAACAAGGCCCCACGGCGGCUCCCAGCUCAGCACCAGCCCAGGCCUCCACGCAGGCCCAGGCCUGCGCGCUGGGCUGGCCAGCCGGCCUCUUCGAUGGGACUUUCCUCUUCUCCAGGUCCUGCCGGAUCUCCUGGGGGAAGGCCUGGAUGUUCUUCUGGACACACGGGAGGCAGAACCUCCUGGAGUAGAACAGACUGCAGUCCUGGGGGAGGAGGGCAGACUGAGGGCCGGGGCGCGGGCGCAGGCGGGCAGGGGCUGGGCGGGCCCAGGAUGCACGGGCAGCUGAGGGGAGGUGGGAGGGUGCAGCUGGAGCCAGAACAGCAGGAGGGAGGCCCAAGGGGGUGGCCCAGGGGAAAAAGAAACGGGGGAGGGGGCCAGGGGCAGCCCUGCAGGCACGCGUGUCGGGUUUUCAUUCGUGGGAGCCAUGAGCCUCCGAGAAGGCCUGGGGCAGUGGCCCUGUGCCUCUGAGGGGCUGGGGGCUGUUUCAGUGCAGGUGACCAGUCCAGGGCAGGACGCUUAGCCCCUCGGGCAGGCUCACCCGGAUCCCAGGGCCACACUCAGCUCCCCCUGGUGUUCUCAGACACCAGGCUCAGCCUGCUGGGCCCCCGGCUCCCUCACCUGUAACAUGGCGCAGACUGACUGGGGCUGGGGAGAGGGACUGAGAAGCCCCAUGGCUAAGGCAGCCCCCAAGCAGGGCCUGGCACACAGAUGCUCGGGGGGCCCCCGAUGACCCCCAGAAAGAAGGUCCCCACCCCGGGGAUGGGGAGGGCCUGCAUGGGGCCGCUGGGGUGGUGCAGAGCCUCCCAGAAGCUACCUGUACCCCUCGGGCCCCACAGAGACCCUGGCUGGCCCAGCGUGCCCUCCGUGUGCCCUCUGCCCCGUGCUGGCUGCGGGACCCCCAAAGGGAGGCAGACCAGCCGGCCUCCGAGAGCCGCCUGGGCCCUGGUGACUGAGGACCGGGACCCUGAGGAGAGGAAAGCUGGUGCGCUCUGCCCUCGGGAAUGGCUCCCGGGCCACCUGUCCCGUCAUGCGUGUGGGGUCCCAGCCCGGGAUGGGGGCGGGGGGGGGGGCGUGAGGGGGAGGAAGGGAGGCAGUGGCGCUGGCUUACCCACCGGGCCCACACACACCAGCCGGCCGCAGACACUGCACCGGGAGCCCAGGACCAGGAACCUGUCCUUGUCGGGGCUGAAG
Long non-coding RNA from Pipistrellus kuhlii (Kuhl's pipistrelle), 1194 nucleotides. RefSeq lists it as uncharacterized. Lineage: Eukaryota; Metazoa; Chordata; Mammalia; Chiroptera; Vespertilionidae. The record is from RefSeq and is a predicted model, not a curated record. The transcript has 3 exons.